Molecule: ribosomal RNA, 253 nt
Filed under: uncultured bacterium
Lineage: Bacteria
Description: partial 16S ribosomal RNA
Rfam family: Bacterial small subunit ribosomal RNA
Source: RNAcentral
UACGUAGGGUGCGAGCGUUAAUCGGAGUUACUGGGCGUAAAGCGUGCGCAGGCGGUUUUGUAAGUCUGUCGUGAAAUCCCCGGGCUUAACCUGGGAAUGGCGAUGGAGACUGCAAGGCUAGAGUUUGGCAGAGGGGGGUAGAAUUCCACGUGUAGCAGUGAAAUGCAUAGAGAUGUGGAGGAACACCGAUGGCGAAGGCAGCCCCCUGGGUCAAAACUGACGCUCAUGCACGAAAGCGUGGGGAGCAAACAGG